This is a long non-coding RNA of Tripterygium wilfordii, 659 nucleotides long. RefSeq lists it as uncharacterized. Lineage: Eukaryota; Viridiplantae; Streptophyta; Magnoliopsida; Celastrales; Celastraceae. The record is from RefSeq and is a predicted model, not a curated record. The transcript has 4 exons.
GACGAAAGCAUUCACAUCUCCCACGAUAUGAUAUUUGUUCGUCUUUAGUCCUUCCCUCUUAAACCGUCUUCGUUUGCUUGAAAUCGAGUUGUUCAUUUAGAGAUUUUUCAAAAGUGUAAGUUGCCUAAUGAUGGCGAACAUGCAAGUCCAAUUAGUGUAGAUGCGAAGAUGCUAUGCCCUGUGACCAACUAUUGUUUUAGAAAGAGGGAAGGUUUUGUACCUGCCAUCCUUGCCUCUCAAUGCUUCAUAGCGAAAGUCAGCAUGGAUAGUUGUGCAUCAACAUUGUUUUCUCUGCACAGAAAGCAAGGCAAGAGUUUAGUUGUUGUAUCAUUAUUUGGUGGGAGCUCUUCAAAGACCAUCAGAUAGUUUGCAAGAAUUGCUGCCGUUGCUGCUGAUCCUGCAAAACAGACUGAUGUAAGUUAUGAGCUUGUUGGCUUUGGUGGUUCGAGGAGUGUGUAUUUCAUAAGAAGAAAGAAUCCAUGAGUUGAUUAUCUUCUGUUACGCCAAUGGAUAUGGUUUAAGAUAUUUUGAAGGUGGUUGCUUUUGUGUCAUAGAAACAAAGUGUAUAUAUUUUGUAAAAACUGGAGAAGUUGCAUGUUUUGGAGUGAUUUUCUUCAACAAUGUCUGCCAUGGAAUGGUAGCGCAUGGGGUAGUUCAAA